Molecule: unclassified non-coding RNA, 294 nt
Filed under: Archaeospora sp.
Lineage: Eukaryota; Fungi; Glomeromycota; Glomeromycetes; Archaeosporales; Archaeosporaceae
Description: partial contains 5.8S ribosomal RNA and internal transcribed spacer 2
Rfam family: 5.8S ribosomal RNA (bases 1-71)
Source: RNAcentral
GUGAAUCAUCAAAUUUUUGAACGCAUAUUGCACUCUCUGGUAUUCCGGAGAGUAUGCCUAUUUGAGGGUCAUUUGAAAUAAUAUAAAUUCUAAGAUUUCUCGGUAUUUAAAAUGGGUUGUCCAUUUUUUGUGGUCGCCUAAAAUCCAAGACAAGCUCAUUUUCUUGGUUUGUGUGAUACUUUCAGUUACCUCGUGACUUAACCAGGAAUCAUCGGUCGUGUUAUUAAUUUUACUAGUGAUAAAAGAUUCUAUAGAUUUAUCUCAUUCGAAUUAGAAAUCGAAUCAUUACCUCAA